RNAcentral lists this ribosomal RNA (450 nucleotides) under uncultured bacterium. RNAcentral describes it as "partial 16S ribosomal RNA". It matches the Rfam family "Bacterial small subunit ribosomal RNA", at positions 354 to 796 of the family's 1533-position model. The record is from RNAcentral.
GUGGGGAAUCUUCCGCAAUGGACGAAAGUCUGACGGAGCGACGCCGCGUGAGUGAAGAAGGCCUUCGGGUCGUAAAGCUCUGUCAUCAGGGACGAACGGCCGGUGGAGUGGAAAGCCACCGGAUUGACGGUACCUGAGAAGGAAGCCACGGCUAUCUACGUGCCAGCAGCCGCGGUAAUACGUAGGUGGCAAGCGUUGUCCGGAAUUAUUGGGCGUAAAGCGCGCGCAGGUGGGAUCUUAAGUCCAUUUUUAAAGUUCGGAGCUCAACUCCGUGAUGGGAUGGAAACUGGGAUUCUUGAGUACCGGAGAGGAAAGCGGAAUUCCCCGUGUAGCGGUGAAAUGCGUAGAUAUGGGGAGGAACACCAGUGGCGAAGGCGGCUUUCUGGACGGUGUCUGACACUGAGGCGCGAAAGCCAGGGGAGCGAACGGGAUUAGAAACCCUUGUAGUCC